CCUGUCAUCAGGGCGAGAUACAUAACAAAUACGUUGAUGGUCUAUGUCUGGUAGCAUAAAAAAGACCCCAUAUUCAAGAUUGGCGAAAGGUGGAGGGACUAUAUGCCGUUUAUAACUUGAUAAAAUCUUAGAUACAUAUGUGUACAAAAAGAAUAUUUAAACCAAGUUGGGUGAAGUUCCUGGCAAUAAAGUGGUGCGAAACGAGAGAGAUACUGAAAUUCUUCCGAUAUAGGGGACCCUAAGAUAAAGAGCCCUUCAGUUACAUCCAAAUUUAACUAGAGAAACAUACCGAAAUGCGGCACUCCAAGAAAAACUAUUGCGCGUGUGCUCUUUGCAAAUCGCGCAUCGCCCAAAACGCUAGAAUUUGUGUCACUCUUUGCAAUAAUGUUACUUUCUUCAAGCCGCAUUUUAACAACUUCCGCAAGUUGGGCUAAACUUCUAUCAGUGUUUGUCAUCAUAUUAGUUUUUGAACUUUGUUGAAAAUUUGCUUCAAAAAUUCUUCGUAAAAAAAAAACUUUUUCUAGAGUUUCUUUAAUCGCGGAGGUACUUAUUGUUUUUAAAAAGAGAUUAUAAGGUAUGAGAUUAGGCAUUUGAAAAUUCGGCGGUACAAAACUCUUUAGGCUAUUAAGUUGUUGUGAAUUUUUUCUACGAAUAAAACUUUUAUGUUUAAAUAAAGGUAUAUCAAGAUGUACAGAAAUGAUUCGAGAACCCUUGGAAAGACUUUCUCGCAAAAAAAGUUGCGGCCAAUGAAAAUACCAAGUCUCCUCUGUUCCGGGCUCAUAUUCUCGAACAAAAUCAAUGUUGAUUAUAUCUUUUGCUGUUUCCGAAGAGGAAACAUUUUCCUUUUGAGCCGAGUUUGUUAAAUUGUACGACCAUGGCUCAUAAUGAAGCCAGCGCCAAGUUUUAAAACCGGAACCCCUCAAUCCAUGAAUGAGGACGACAUCUACAGGAGAAAUUUAAAGGAUCCACGCGCUCAUCUCUAUCCUUAAUAUACAGAGGAAUAAUUCCCUUAUUAUACCGUGGAGUGGAACCGUUCAAGGAUAACGCGAAUAAUUGUUCUAUAUUGAGUUGUAACCUAGAAAAAUAUCGUAAUUUUUUAAAAAAACUUCCCGUUAGAUGUAUCAUUAUAUAUAACUACUUUUUUCACUCUAUAAACAUUCAAUUUGUAAAGAUGCGAAACCAAAUAAUCUAUGCU
Molecule: long non-coding RNA, 1195 nt
Organism: Hylaeus volcanicus
Lineage: Eukaryota; Metazoa; Arthropoda; Insecta; Hymenoptera; Colletidae
Exons: 6
Source: RefSeq, a predicted model, not a curated record